CCUACGGGAGGCAGCAGUAGGGAAUCUUCCGCAAUGGACGAAAGUCUGACGGAGCAACGCCGCGUGAGUGAUGAAGGUUUUCGGAUCGUAAAGCUCUGUUGUUAGGGAAGAACAAGUACCGUUCGAACAGGGCGGUACCUUGACGGUACCUAACCAGAAACGCCACGGCUAACUACGUGCCAGCAGCCGCGGUAAUACGUAGGUGGCAAGGUGUUGUCCGGAAUUAUUGGGCGUAAAGGGCUCGCGGGCGGUUUCUUAAGGUCUGAUGUGAAAGCCCCCGGCUCAACCGGGGAGGGUCAUUGGAAACUGGGGAACUUGAGUGCAGAAGAGGAGAGUGGAAUUCCACGUGUAGCGGUGAAAUGCGUAGAGAUGUGGAGGAACACCAGUGGCGAAGGCGACUCUCUGGUCUGUAACUGACGCUGAGGAGCGAAAGCGUGGGGAGCGAACAGGAUUAGAUACCCCUGGUAGUCCACGCCGUAAACGAUGAGUGCUAAGUGUUAGGGGGUUUCCGCCCCUUAGUGCUGCAGCUAACGCAUUAAGCACUCCGCCUGGGGAGUACGGUCGCAAGACUGAAACUCAAAGGAAUUGACGG
RNAcentral lists this ribosomal RNA (592 nucleotides) under uncultured bacterium. RNAcentral's name for it is "bacterial SSU rRNA". It matches the Rfam family "Bacterial small subunit ribosomal RNA", at positions 338 to 916 of the family's 1533-position model. The record is from RNAcentral.